UAGGGAAUAUUGGGCAAUGGACGAAAGUCUGACCCAGCCAUGCCGCGUGGAGGAUGACUGCCCUAUGGGUUGUAAACUCCUUUUAUAAGGAAAGAAUAGCAGGCUUUUUAGUUUGUGUGACGGUACCUUAUGAAUAAGCACCGGCUAACUCCGUGCCAGCAGCCGCGGUAAUACGGAGGGUGCAAGCGUUAUCCGGAUUCACUGGGUUUAAAGGGUGCGUAGGCGGAUUUGUAAGUCAGAGGUGAAAUCCUAUAGCUCAACUAUAGAAUUGCCCCUGAUACUGCUUAUCUUGAGUAUGGUUGAAGUGGGCGGAAUAUGUCAUGUAGCGGUGAAAUGCGUAGAUAUGACAUAGAACACCAAUUGCGAAGGCAGCUCACUAAACCAAAACUGACGCUGAGGCACGAAAGCAUGGGUAGCGAACAGG
RNAcentral lists this ribosomal RNA (424 nucleotides) under uncultured bacterium. Its description in RNAcentral is "bacterial SSU rRNA". It matches the Rfam family "Bacterial small subunit ribosomal RNA", at positions 355 to 776 of the family's 1533-position model. The record is from RNAcentral.